Molecule: ribosomal RNA, 579 nt
Filed under: Hippasteria lepidonotus
Lineage: Eukaryota; Metazoa; Echinodermata; Asteroidea; Valvatida; Goniasteridae
Description: Cryptopeltaster lepidonotus partial 16S ribosomal RNA
Rfam family: Bacterial large subunit ribosomal RNA
Source: RNAcentral
CGCUCUUCGCUAAAGGUUCUAGUGUAUGAGGAGUCCUGCCUGCCCAGUGACUUUAGUGGUUAAACGGCCGCGGUAUUUUGACCGUGCAAAGGUAGCAUAAUCAUUUGCCUCUUAAAUAGAGGCUGGUAUGAAUGGCAAGACGGAGGUUUGACUGUCUCUUUUUUAAGGAGGUUGAAUUUAAUAUCUUUGUGAAGAAGCAAGGAUAAGAUCGUAGGACGAGAAGACCCUNUNGAGCUUUGUUGAGUAUUCUUAUGCUAAUUUAUUUUCGGUAGAGACUAUGGAAUUUACGUAAGAUAUGAGUGUGCUGUAUUAUUUCUUGUUUUGGUUGGGGCAAUCGCGGAGUAAAUGUAACCUCCGUUGUAAAUAUUGAUAUUUUAAAGUGACUUCUUUUGUAGUAUAAAAUGUGUAUUUAUGAUCCACUGGGAAAGUGAGUAAARGAANAAGUUACCRYAGGGAUAACAGCGUAAUUUUCUUCGAGAGUUCGUAUUGAUAAGAAAGUUUGCGACCUCGAUGUUGGAUCGGGAUAUCCAGGAGAUGCAGCAGUUUCCAAGGGUUGGUCUGUUCAACCAUUAAAAUCCU